Molecule: ribosomal RNA, 1051 nt
Filed under: uncultured Dechloromonas sp.
Lineage: Bacteria; Pseudomonadati; Pseudomonadota; Betaproteobacteria; Rhodocyclales; Azonexaceae
Description: bacterial SSU rRNA
Rfam family: Bacterial small subunit ribosomal RNA
Source: RNAcentral
CAGUGGGGAAUUUUGGACAAUGGGCGCAAGCCUGAUCCAGCCAUGCCGCGUGAGUGAAGAAGGCCUUCGGGUUGUAAAGCUCUUUCGGCCGGGAAGAAAUCGCAUUGGUUAAUACCUGGUGUGGAUGACGGUACCGGAAUAAGAAGCACCGGCUAACUACGUGCCAGCAGCCGCGGUAAUACGUAGGGUGCGAGCGUUAAUCGGAAUUACUGGGCGUAAAGCGUGCGCAGGCGGUUUUGUAAGACAGGCGUGAAAUCCCCGGGCUCAACCUGGGAACUGCGCUUGUGACUGCAAGGCUAGAGUACGGCAGAGGGGGGUGGAAUUCCACGUGUAGCAGUGAAAUGCGUAGAGAUGUGGAGGAACACCAAUGGCGAAGGCAGCCCCCUGGGUCGAUACUGAUGCUCAUGCACGAAAGCGUGGGUAGCAAACAGGAUUAGAUACCCUGGUAGUCCACGCCCUAAACGAUGUCAACUAGGUGUUGGGAGGGUAAAACCUUUUAGUACCGGAGCUAACGCGUGAAGUUGACCGCCUGGGGAGUACGGCCGCAAGGUUAAAACUCAAAGGAAUUGACGGGGACCCGCACAAGCGGUGGAUGAUGUGGAUUAAUUCGAUGCAACGCGAAAAACCUUACCUACCCUUGACAUGUCAGGAAGUCUUGAGAGAUUGAGAUGUGCCCGAAAGGGAACCUGAACACAGGUGCUGCAUGGCUGUCGUCAGCUCGUGUCGUGAGAUGUUGGGUUAAGUCCCGCAACGAGCGCAACCCUUGUCGUUAAUUGCCAUCAUUUAGUUGGGCACUUUAGCGAGACUGCCGGUGACAAACCGGAGGAAGGUGGGGAUGACGUCAAGUCCUCAUGGCCCUUAUGGGUAGGGCUUCACACGUCAUACAAUGGUCGGUACAAAGGGUCGCCAACCCGCGAGGGGGAGCCAAUCCCAGAAAGCCGAUCGUAGUCCGGAUUGCAGGCUGCAACUCGCCUGCAUGAAGUCGGAAUCGCUAGUAAUCGUGGAUCAGCAUGUCGCGGUGAAUACGUUCCCGGGCCUUGUACACACCGCC